Molecule: non-coding RNA, 56 nt
Filed under: Symbiodinium sp. CCMP2430
Lineage: Eukaryota; Dinophyceae; Suessiales; Symbiodiniaceae
Source: RNAcentral
CACAGUCAUGCCGUGAGCACCCGAUGCAGGGUGCCAACCGAACGGGGCUCAUUCUC